Small nucleolar RNA from Heterocephalus glaber (naked mole-rat), 102 nucleotides. Lineage: Eukaryota; Metazoa; Chordata; Mammalia; Rodentia; Bathyergidae. The record is from Ensembl.
AUCUUUUGUGGUCCAUAGUGUGAAGACAAGGUCUUCAUACUGUUAUGUGAAAUGUGCCUUCUGCUAACCCUGUUAAGACAAGGGCAUGUUAACCACCGGAUG